This 74-nucleotide transfer RNA is filed under the name Candidatus Onthovivens merdipullorum. RNAcentral's name for it is "tRNA-Trp". It matches the Rfam family "tRNA". From Rfam's summary of the family: Transfer RNA (tRNA) molecules are approximately 80 nucleotides in length. Their secondary structure includes four short double-helical elements and three loops (D, anti-codon, and T loops). Lineage: Bacteria; Bacillati; Bacillota; Bacilli; Caryophanales. The record is from RNAcentral.
GGGGGUUUGGUUCAAUGGUAGAACAGCGGUCUCCAAAACCGUUGAUGUGGGUUCGAUUCCUUCAACCCCCGCCA